CACGAACCGUACGAACGUUAUUCGGAAUUACUGGGCUUAACGGGUUUGUAGGCGGCCUUGUAAGUCAGGUGUGAAAUCCCUCGGCUCAACCGAGGAAUGGCGCUUGAUACUGCACGGCUUGAGGGAGACAGGGGUAAGCGGAACUGAUGGUGGAGCGGUGAAAUGCGUUGAUAUCAUCAGGAACACCGGUGGCGAAAGCGGCUUACUGGGUCUCUUCUGACGCUGAGGAACGAAAGCUAGGGUAGCGAACGGG
Molecule: ribosomal RNA, 253 nt
Filed under: uncultured bacterium
Lineage: Bacteria
Description: partial 16S ribosomal RNA
Rfam family: Bacterial small subunit ribosomal RNA
Source: RNAcentral